Mercurialis annua (annual mercury) is the source of this 248-nucleotide long non-coding RNA. RefSeq lists it as uncharacterized. The record is from RefSeq and is a predicted model, not a curated record. The transcript has 3 exons. Lineage: Eukaryota; Viridiplantae; Streptophyta; Magnoliopsida; Malpighiales; Euphorbiaceae.
CCAUUUUCAAACCGAAAGGGCGACCUAUAGGUGCUUCUCGGAACAGAUAUCUGGAUGAUGCUGAAUAUAAUGCUGCCCGAAGCUAUAUCCUUCUGAAUUGCACUGAAAUCGAACCUUUCAGAGAAGUUUUUGAAGGCGAGUUGUAUGAAAUCAACCCCGAAAUCACACAGACCGAAGUUGUAGUCAAGUUGGAGAGUGAAUUCGCCUUUUGGUUCGAGCAAUAUGUGAAAGACCAAACUGUCUGUACC